GCGGGCGUAGCUCAACGGCAGAGCACCGUCCUUCCAAGUCGGCUACGCGGGUUCGACUCCCGUCGCCCGCUCCA
This 74-nucleotide transfer RNA is filed under the name Acidimicrobiales bacterium. RNAcentral's name for it is "tRNA-Gly". It matches the Rfam family "tRNA". Rfam says of the family: Transfer RNA (tRNA) molecules are approximately 80 nucleotides in length. Their secondary structure includes four short double-helical elements and three loops (D, anti-codon, and T loops). The record is from RNAcentral. Lineage: Bacteria; Bacillati; Actinomycetota; Acidimicrobiia; Acidimicrobiales. RNAcentral also lists the same sequence under 2 other names.